CGUGGGUAACCUGCCUUAUAGUGGGGGAUAGCCUUUCGAAAGGAAGAUUAAUACCGCAUAAGAUUGUAGUAUCGCAUGAUAUAGCAAUUAAAGGAGCAAUCCGCUAUAAGAUGGACCCGCGUCGCAUUAGCUAGUUGGUGAGGUGAUGGCUCACCAAGGCGACGAUGCGUAGCCGACUUGAGAGGGUGAUCGGCCACAUUGGGACUGAGACACGGUCCAGACUCCUACGGGAGGCAGCAUG
Molecule: ribosomal RNA, 241 nt
Filed under: uncultured bacterium
Lineage: Bacteria
Description: partial 16S ribosomal RNA
Rfam family: Bacterial small subunit ribosomal RNA
Source: RNAcentral